Non-coding RNA from Lolium perenne, 1567 nucleotides. Lineage: Eukaryota; Viridiplantae; Streptophyta; Magnoliopsida; Poales; Poaceae. The record is from RefSeq and is a predicted model, not a curated record.
GCACGCACGCAUGGCACUACCGACUCGCCGGGCUGGAUCUCAUGGUGAUUCGCUCGCUCCUCGCCGUCGUCGCGCUGCCUCGCUUAGUCGCUUCGCUGGUGCCGGGCGGGCGCGUUGGCGUCCGUGCACCGGCCGCGCGGGGCAGCAGGGCAAGGAGAGGGAGCAGUGCCACCGGCCGUUUCGUCGUCGCGCCGGCGCGGCGGGAGAGGCUCUUCCUCCGGAGAAGGGAAGGGACGGGUGGAACGGCGCAGCCGGCCCUGGCCGACGCCGCCGGCGCAGGAACAGAAGAGGGUCGUGGAGAGACCCGCGCUCGUGAGGGUUUGGGCCUGGCGGGCCGGGCCGAGAAAAGAGCCCGCAAGCCCAGGUAGUGCCCAAAGCCCGGUAAGGCGAUGGCGUGUCAGGCUGGCACCUUGAAAUACUCGCCUCUUGGCGCCCGAAGCGGCCACCGCCUCUGCUCUUCGGCUGUCCAGCAGCGCCGACAGCGACCGAUGGACCAGUUCCCCCCCGACGGGUACCCCGUGCGGCUGCGGAGCGCCGUGCACGGCACCUACCUCCGCGCCGACAAGGACGGGCAUGGCGUCUCACUCAGCCGUCGUCGGAAGUCCAUGAAGGUGGCGUGGGUGGUGCACCGCUACUUCGGGGACGACCAGCACGUGCUCCUCCACAGCGCCGCCUACGGCCGCUACCUCUCCGCCACCGAAGCCCCGGCGCCGCGUGACUGCCCCGGCUUCCGCGUCGCGCUGCGUAACUACGACGAGCUUGAGGAUGAGGCCAUCAGGUGGUAGCCCAUCAGGGUCCAGCCUGGGGACGAGAUCCUGCUCUGCCGCCACGUCGCCCAGGGCGACCGCCACGGCUACCUCCGCGCCAACGGGAAGUACCUCCCCUGGAAGGACAGCAUCGUCAGCGUCCACGAUGUCAACAACAUCAGCACCAUGAUGCAGUGGGUGGUGGAGCUCGUCCCCAGCAGCGAGCGCAUCCCCCGCCUUCCACGUCCGUCUAGGCUCCACCUCUCUGUCCUGCUGUCGUCGCGGUCGCGGAUGGUGGUGUUCACGGGGAACGGCGAAUGGUGCUACGCUGCCGCCGUUAAUUUCAAUUUCAGGGGAAGGUUCGUGUACCACCUGAGGAACGAGCUGGCCAGACGGCUGGGCAUCCCAGGGAACGUCUCCAACAACCUCGUCAUGUACGUCCGAGCGGGCAGAUACGGGCGCAAUACCCCACUCGUCGCCAACCUAUCCCACAGCACAGAGAUCCUCUAAUCACGGGCGAUAUGCCAGAAAACGGGGGGCCACGACACCCAGAUUUCGAUGCAGAGUAGAGAAAGUCCAGAGCAGGUCUCCUUGCCUUCCAGUUAACCUCUUCAGAAGUGUCGCUGCCUCGGACACUGUGACAUGGAGAAAUCUUAAUUUUUUUGCAUAGAGAUAUAGGUUGAGAAAACCUCUGUGGCUCUUGUGUUUCUGGCGAAACUCAUCUGUUCUAGUGACAUUGCUUUGACCACGCGGUUCUAAAAGUUCAGAACCUGAUUGAAUAAUAAUGCAGUGACGUUGGUCUUUAAUGGCCAUGUUCUUAU